This 392-nucleotide ribosomal RNA is filed under the name uncultured Alphaproteobacteria bacterium. Its description in RNAcentral is "bacterial SSU rRNA". It matches the Rfam family "Bacterial small subunit ribosomal RNA", at positions 39 to 447 of the family's 1533-position model. The record is from RNAcentral. Lineage: Bacteria; Pseudomonadati; Pseudomonadota; Alphaproteobacteria.
GCUGCAUGCUUUAUACAUGCAAGUCGAACGAAGGCCCUAGCUUGCUAGGUGUCCUUAGUGGCGCACGGGUGAGUAACACGUGGGAACAUACCUUAUAGUACGGAAUAACUGCGGGAAACUGUAGCUAAUACCGUAUAUUCCAGUAAUGGGAAAGAUUUAUCGCUAUAAGAUUGGCCCGCGCAAGAUUAGCUUGUUGGUGAGGUAAAAGCUCACCAAGGCUUCGAUCUUUAGCUGGUUUGAGAGGAUGAUCAGCCACACUGGGACUGAGACACGGCCCAGACUCCUACGGGAGGCAGCAGUAGGGAAUAUUGGACAAUGGGGGCAACCCUGAUCCAGCAAUGCAGCGUGAGUGACGAAGGCCUUAGGGUUGUAAAACUCUUUCAUCGGUGAGG